AACGGCCGCGGUAUAUUGACCGUGCAAAGGUAGCAUAAUCAUUAGUCUUUUAAUAGAAGGCUGGAAUGAAAGGUUUAACGAGGCAUUGACUGUCUCAUUUUUAUUUUUAGAAUUUAAUCUUUAAGUUAAAAAGCUUAAAUUUUGUUGGAAGACGAGAAGACCCUAUAGAGCUUUAUAACUUUGCUUAUAAUUAUUUUUGGUUUUAAGUUUUACUUUUAUAGGCUUAGUUAUUUUGUUGGGGUGACAAAAACAUAUAAUUAACUUUUGUUAUUUUAUGAACAUUAAUUUAUGAUUAUUGGAUCCAAUAAUAUUGAUCAUUAGUCUAAGUUACCUUAGGGAUAACAGCGUAAUCUUCCCUCAGAGUUCAAAUUUACGGGAAGGCUUGCGACCUCGAUGUUGGAUUAAGAUAAUAGUUAAGUGCAGAAGCUUAAUUAAUAGGUCUGUUCGAC
RNAcentral lists this ribosomal RNA (449 nucleotides) under Rhadinosticta simplex. Its description in RNAcentral is "partial 16S ribosomal RNA". It matches the Rfam family "Bacterial large subunit ribosomal RNA", at positions 1926 to 2585 of the family's 2925-position model. The record is from RNAcentral. Lineage: Eukaryota; Metazoa; Arthropoda; Insecta; Odonata; Isostictidae.